Molecule: ribosomal RNA, 340 nt
Filed under: uncultured fungus
Lineage: Eukaryota; Fungi
Description: SSU rRNA
Rfam family: Eukaryotic small subunit ribosomal RNA
Source: RNAcentral
GGUUCAUUCAAAUUUCUGCCCUAUCAACUUUCGAAGGCUGGGUCUUGGCAGCCAUGGUGACAACGGGUAACGGAGGGUUAGGGCUCGACCCCGGAGAGAGCCUGAGAAACGGUACUACAUCCAAGGAAGGCAGCAGGCGCGCAAAUUACCCAAUCCCGACCGGGGAGGUAGUGACAAUAAAUACUGAUACAGGGCUCUUUUGGGUCUUGUAAUUGGAAUGAGUACAAUUUAAAUCCCUUAACGAGGAACAAUUGGAGGGCAAGUCUGGUGCCAGCAGCCGGGUAAAUUCCAGCUCAAAUAGCGUAUAUUAAAGUUGUUGCAGUUAAAAAGCUCGUAGUUG